Molecule: ribosomal RNA, 253 nt
Filed under: uncultured bacterium
Lineage: Bacteria
Description: partial 16S ribosomal RNA
Rfam family: Bacterial small subunit ribosomal RNA
Source: RNAcentral
UACGGAGGGUGCAAGCGUUAUCCGGCUUCACUGGGUUUAAAGGGUGCGUAGGCGGUCAGGUAAGUCCGUGGUGAAAUCUCUGAGCUUAACUCAGAAACUGCCAUGGAUACUAUUUGUCUUGAAUAUUGUGGAGGUAAGCGGAAUAUGUCAUGUAGCGGUGAAAUGCUUAGAUAUGACAUAGAACACCAAUUGCGAAGGCAGCUUACUACACAGUUAUUGACGCUGAGGCACGAAAGCGUGGGGAUCAAACAGG